This 757-nucleotide long non-coding RNA is filed under the name Homo sapiens (human). RNAcentral describes it as "HSALNT0362770". The record is from RNAcentral. Lineage: Eukaryota; Metazoa; Chordata; Mammalia; Primates; Hominidae.
CUGGGCAGUCUUAUCAUCAGAGUGGAGCCUGACAUGAACUUAUGAAUUCAACACAUGAAGACUUACAACUUGAUAAACCAGCUUCAGGAGGUUCCUGAAAGGGAGAGAGGAAAUCUUCGAUUUUUCAUGGCUGUGAACCACUGCAAGUAUUGAAGAAAUAUUUACUACUUCCAGCCUCAUAAUCCUGCAGUCAUUUGGCACCUCUGAAGCCUUGGGGAGCACUGAAGCCAAGGCUGCACCGUACCAAAAAUUUGAAACAUGUGAAUGAGCUGAAUGUGGAAGGACUACCGGAAAACACUCCUUUCAGAAUCCCCUCAUUGCAUGAAAUCCCAAGGCUCGAAAACAUCUUUCAAGUGAGCAAUUGAAUUAAGUUUGUUAUUAAGAGUAACUCCAGUUAGCCUCCAUUGUCUCCAAGCCGGCUUUUGUCCUCAUCCACAACGCCUCCACACAAGCUCUGAACACCUGUCCAUUGCUAACUUGAGACUGCCAUGCUGUUAGGAAGUUCAAGUUCACCACAUGGAGAUGAAAUAAGAUAUCAUGAUAAACAUCCCCAGCUGAUCCCAGCCUCCAGUGAUCCAUCAACUACAUAUAUGAUCCUAAGUCACAUGUGUGACCCCGAGCAAGAUCAGCAGAACAAUCACUCAGCCAACCCACAGAACCCUGAAAAAAUAUAAAUCAUUAUAGUUUAAACCACAAGUUUUGGGUAGCUUGUUAUGCUGCUAUUGAUAAUUAAAACAAACUGGAAUAUUUUCAUCUA